UUUGUUUACAUGUAUUUAUGCAUA
This 24-nucleotide non-coding RNA is filed under the name Arabidopsis thaliana (thale cress). Lineage: Eukaryota; Viridiplantae; Streptophyta; Magnoliopsida; Brassicales; Brassicaceae. The record is from RNAcentral.